GGAAUUUUGGACAAUGGGCGCAAGCCUGAUCCAGCCAUGCCGCGUGUCUGAAGAAGGCCUUCGGGUUGUAAAGGACUUUUGUCAGGGAAGAAAAGGCCGUUGCCAAUAUCGGCGGCCGAUGACGGUACCUGAAGAAUAAGCACCGGCUAACUACGUGCCAGCAGCCGCGGUAAUACGUAGGGUGCGAGCGUUAAUCGGAAUUACUGGGCGUAAAGCGGGCGCAGACGGUUACUUAAGCAGGAUGUGAAAUCCCCGGGCUCAACCCGGGAACUGCGUUCUGAACUGGGUGACUCGAGUGUGUCAGAGGGAGGUGGAAUUCCACGUGUAGCAGUGAAAUGCGUAGAGAUGUGGAGGAAUACCGAUGGCGAAGGCAGCCUCCUGGGAUAACACUGACGUUCAUGUCCGAAAGCGUGGGUAGCAAACAGGAUUAGAUACCCUGGUAGUCCACGCCCUAAACGAUGUCAAUUAGCUGUUGGGCAACUUGAUUGCUUGGUAGCGUAGCUAACGCGUGAAAUUGACCGCCUGGGGAGUACGGUCGCAAGAUUAAAACUCAAAGGAAUUGACGGGGACCCGCACAAGCGGUGGAUGAUGUGGAUUAAUUCGAUGCAACGCGAAGAACCUUACCUGGUUUUGACAUGUGCGGAAUCCUCCGGAGACGGAGGAGUGCCUUCGGGAGCCGUAACACAGGUGCUGCAUGGCUGUCGUCAGCUCGUGUCGUGAGAUGUUGGGUUAAGUCCCGCAACGAGCGCAACCCUUGUCAUUAGUUGCCAUCAUUCGGUUGGGCACUCUAAUGAGACUGCCGGUGACAAGCCGGAGGAAGGUGGGGAUGACGUCAAGUCCUCAUGGCCCUUAUGACCAGGGCUUCACACGUCAUACAAUGGUCGGUACAGAGGGUAGCCAAGCCGCGAGGCGGAGCCAAUCUCACAAAACCGAUCGUAGUCCGGAUUGCACUCUGCAACUCGAGUGCAUGAAGUCGGAAUCGCUAGUAAUCGCAGGUCAGCAUACUGCGGUGAAUACGUUCCCGGGUCUUGUACACACCGCCCGUCACACCAUGGGAGUGGGGGAUACCAGAAGUAGGUAGGGUAACCGCAAGGAGCCCGCUUACCACGGUAUGCUUCAUGACUGGGGUGAAGUCGUAACAAGGUAGCCGUAGGGGAACCUGCGGCUGGAUCACCU
This 1176-nucleotide ribosomal RNA is filed under the name Neisseria gonorrhoeae. Its description in RNAcentral is "bacterial SSU rRNA". It matches the Rfam family "Bacterial small subunit ribosomal RNA", at positions 358 to 1528 of the family's 1533-position model. The record is from RNAcentral. Lineage: Bacteria; Pseudomonadati; Pseudomonadota; Betaproteobacteria; Neisseriales; Neisseriaceae.